Molecule: signal recognition particle RNA, 342 nt
Filed under: Cebus imitator (Panamanian white-faced capuchin)
Lineage: Eukaryota; Metazoa; Chordata; Mammalia; Primates; Cebidae
Description: Metazoan signal recognition particle RNA (ENSCCAG00000003646.1)
Rfam family: Metazoan signal recognition particle RNA
About the family: The signal recognition particle (SRP) is a universally conserved ribonucleoprotein.
Source: RNAcentral
GCUGGGCGCUGUGGCACAUGCCUGUAGUCCCAGCUACUCAGGAGGCUGAGGUGCGAGGAUCGCUUGAGCCCAGGAAUUCUGGGCUGUAGUGCGCUAUGCCCAUCGGGUGUCCGCACUAAGUUCAGCAUCAAUAUGGUGACCUCCCGGGAGCAGGGGACCACCAGGUUGCCUAAGGAGGGGUGAACUGGCCCAGGUCGGAAACGGAGCAGGUCAAAACUCGAGUGCAGCCAGGUGUGGUGGCUCACGCCUGUAAUCCCAGCACUUUGGUAUGCUGAGGUGGGUGGAUCACCUAAGGUCAGGAGUUCGAGACCAGCCUGGUAAACAUGGUGAAACCUCGUCUCU